CUUUUGGAACUGAAUCUAAGUGAUUUAACAAAAAUUCGUCACUACCACUGAGA
This 53-nucleotide small RNA is filed under the name Mus musculus (house mouse). Its description in RNAcentral is "small nucleolar RNA, C/D box 70 (Snord70)". The record is from RNAcentral. Lineage: Eukaryota; Metazoa; Chordata; Mammalia; Rodentia; Muridae.